UACGAAGGGGGCUAGCGUUGCUCGGAAUCACUGGGCGUAAAGCGCACGUAGGCGGAUCUUUAAGUCAGGGGUGAAAUCCUGGAGCUCAACUCCAGAACUGCCUUUGAUACUGGGGAUCUCGAGUCCGGAAGAGGUGAGUGGAACUCCGAGUGUAGAGGUGAAAUUCGUAGAUAUUGGGAGGAACACCAGUGGCGAAGGCGGCUCACUGGACCGGAACUGACGCUGAGGCGCGAAAGCGUGGGGAGCAAACAGG
Molecule: ribosomal RNA, 253 nt
Filed under: uncultured bacterium
Lineage: Bacteria
Description: partial 16S ribosomal RNA
Rfam family: Bacterial small subunit ribosomal RNA
Source: RNAcentral